Molecule: ribosomal RNA, 406 nt
Filed under: uncultured bacterium
Lineage: Bacteria
Description: partial 16S ribosomal RNA
Rfam family: Bacterial small subunit ribosomal RNA
Source: RNAcentral
AUUGAACGCUGGCGGCAGGCCUAACACAUGCAAGUCGAACGAGUGGCGGACGGGUGAGUAAUUUCUGGGAAACUGCCCGAUGGAGGGGGAUAACUACUGGAAACGGUAGCUAAUACCGCAUACCAUCGGAUGUGCCCAGAUGGGAUUAGCGAGUGGGUGGGGUAACGGCUCACCUAGGCGACGAUCCCUAGCUGGUCUGAGAGGAUGACCAGCCACACUGGAACUGAGACACGGCCCAGACUCCUACGGGAGGCAGCAGGGGGGAAUAUUGCGCAAUGGACGAAAGCCUGAUGCAGCCAUGCCGCGUGUAUGAAGAAGGCCUUCGGGUUGUAAAGUACUUUCAGCGAGGAGGCGUUACUCGAAGAAGAAGCAACGGCUAACUCCGUGCCAGCAGCCGCGGUAAUUC